UACGUAGGGGGCGAGCGUUGUCCGGAAUCAUUGGGCGUAAAGCGCGUGUAGGCGGCUCGAUAAGUCUGCUGUGAAAGUCCAGGGCUCAACCCUGGAAUGCCGGUGGAAACUGUCGAGCUUGAGUCUGGAAGAGGCGAGUGGAAUUCCUGGUGUAGCGGUGAAAUGCGCAGAUAUCAGGAGGAACACCAAUGGCGAAGGCAGCUCGCUGGGACGGUACUGACGCUGAGACGCGAAAGCGUGGGGAGCAAACAGG
RNAcentral lists this ribosomal RNA (253 nucleotides) under uncultured bacterium. RNAcentral describes it as "partial 16S ribosomal RNA". It matches the Rfam family "Bacterial small subunit ribosomal RNA", at positions 524 to 776 of the family's 1533-position model. The record is from RNAcentral.